CGGGUAGUAGUUUAAAGAGAAUACUGGUCUUGGGUAUCAGCGGUGAGGGUGAAAAUUCCUCCUUCUUGA
Molecule: transfer RNA, 69 nt
Filed under: Uraeotyphlus cf. oxyurus MW-212
Lineage: Eukaryota; Metazoa; Chordata; Amphibia; Gymnophiona; Ichthyophiidae
Description: tRNA-Pro
Rfam family: tRNA
About the family: Transfer RNA (tRNA) molecules are approximately 80 nucleotides in length. Their secondary structure includes four short double-helical elements and three loops (D, anti-codon, and T loops).
Source: RNAcentral